AGGCUACGCUCCAAGAUAGAACUAAUAUUGGUGCAGCAGGCAGAAGGAAGGAACAAACUUCCUCCCAAAUCUCACAGGCAGAAGGAAGGAACAUCAUCCCAAAUCUCACAGGCAGAAGGAAUGAACAUCAUCCCAAAUCUCACAGGCAGAAGGAAGGAACAUCAUCCCAAAUCUCACAGGCAGAAGGAAGGAACAUCAUCCCAAAUCUCACAGGCAGAAGGAAGGAACAUCAUCCCAAAUCUCACAGGCAGAAGGAAGGAACAUCAUCCCAAAUCUCACAGGCAGAAGGAAUGAACUUCAUCCCAAAUCUCACAGGCAGAAGGAAUGAAUGAACAUCAUCCCAAAUCUCACAGGCAGAAGGAAGGAAGGAACAUCAUCCCAAAUCUCACAGGCAGAAGGAAGGAAUGAACAUCAUCCCAAAUCUCACAGGCAGAAGGAAGGAAGGAACAUCAUCCCAAAUCUCACAGGCAGGCAGAAGGAAGGAAGGAACAUCAUCCCAAAUCUCACAGGCAGAAGGAAGGAAGGAACAUCAUCCCAAAUCUCACAGGCAGAAGGAAGGAACAAACUUCCUCCCAAAUCUCAGCUCUUGCCAAAAAAGAGUGGAAACCUGGACUGGAUGUCAGAUUGGUUGAUAAGGUUAGAAAGGAGAAAGGUUUUCAUCAAGGAUCUCUCUGUAUUUUGCUUCGUUCAUCUUUCCCUCGAUCCUGACUAGUCUCCCAGUCCCUGCCAUUGAAAAACAUCCCCACAGCAUGAUGCUGCCACCACCAGGCUUCACCAUAGGGAUGGUGCCAGGUUUCCUCCAGACGAGUUCAAUCUUGGUUUCAUCAGACCAGAGAAUCUUCUUUCUCAUGGUCUGAGAAUCCUUUUGGUGCCUUUUGGCAAACUCCAAGCGGGCUGUCAUGUGCCUUUUACAGAUGAGUGGCUUCCAUCUGACCACUCUACCAUAAAGGCCUGAUUGGUGCAGUGCUGCAGAGAUGGUUGUCCUUCUGGAAGUUUCUCCCAUCUUCACAGAUGAACUCUGGAGGUCUGUCAGAGU
Oncorhynchus tshawytscha (Chinook salmon) is the source of this 1036-nucleotide long non-coding RNA. Lineage: Eukaryota; Metazoa; Chordata; Actinopteri; Salmoniformes; Salmonidae. The record is from Ensembl.